GACGAACGCUGGCGGCGUGCUUAACACAUGCAAGUCGAACGAUGAACCCGGAGCUUGCUCCGGCGGAUUAGUUGCGAACGGGUGAGUAACACGUGAGUAACCUGCCCUUGACUCUGGGAUAACUGCUAGAAAUGGUAGCUAAUACCGGAUACGACCCUCGGCGGCAUCGCCAGGGGGUGGAAAGAAUUUCGGUCAAGGAUGGACUCGCGGCCUAUCAGCUAGUUGGUGAGGUAACGCCUCACCAAGGCGACGACGGGUAGCCGGCCUGAGAGGGUGACCGGCCACACUGGGACUGAGACACGGCCCAGACUCCUACGGGAGGCAGCAGUGGGGAAUAUUGCACAAUGGGCGCAAGGCUGAUGCAGCAACGCCGCGUGAGGGAUGACGGCCUUCGGGUUGUAAACCUCUUUUAGUAGGGAAGAAGCGAAAGUGACGGUACCUGCAGAAAAAGCACCGGCUAACUACGUGCCAGCCGCCGCCGUAA
RNAcentral lists this ribosomal RNA (484 nucleotides) under uncultured bacterium. RNAcentral describes it as "partial 16S ribosomal RNA". It matches the Rfam family "Bacterial small subunit ribosomal RNA", at positions 28 to 523 of the family's 1533-position model. The record is from RNAcentral.